Molecule: ribosomal RNA, 777 nt
Filed under: uncultured Neocallimastigales
Lineage: Eukaryota; Fungi; Neocallimastigomycota; Neocallimastigomycetes; Neocallimastigales
Description: partial large subunit ribosomal RNA
Rfam family: Eukaryotic large subunit ribosomal RNA
Source: RNAcentral
GAGAGAGAGACAUGCGCGCAUAUCAAUAAGCGGAGGAAAAGAAACUAACUAAGGAUUCCCUCAGUAACGGCGAGUGAAGCGGGAAGAGCUCAAAUUUGAAAUCUUCAAGGUUUUACCUUGACGAAUUGUAGUUUAAAGAAGUGUUUUCUGCUGAAGUUUUGGUAAAGUUCUUUGGAAUAGGACAUCAUAGAGGGUGAGAAUCCCGUAUUUGACCAUUAUUUUCAGCUUUGUGAUACACUUUCAAAGAGUCGGAUUGUUUGGGAAUGCAGUCCAAAAUGGGUGGUAAAUUUCAUCUAAAGCUAAAUAUUGGCGAGAGACCGAUAGCGAACAAGUACCGUGAGGGAAAGAUGAAAAGAACUUUGAAAAGAGGAGUUAAACAGUACGUGAAAUUGUCAAAAGGGAAGCGUUUGACACCAGUGUCGUUUUCUCGAAAAUCAAUUAAAAAUGGCUCGAUUUUGUAUUGUUGAGACCUUAAAAGCUCACUGUACAUUUUUCGUGUCUUUUUUAAUGCACUUUUCGUUUAACAAGUCAACAUCAGUUUCUUUUGUUGUAAAAGGGUCAUUGGAAGGUGGCUUUCUUUUCGGAGAAAGUGUUUAUAGCCUUUGGCCUCUGCAAUCGAAGAGACUGAGGUCUGCAGCGUAGACUCUUCGGGGUUAGAUACAUUUGUGCUAAGUUAUAGCUUUUUAUAGACAACUUGUUGACUAUGAUUAGUCAUUGUAGCUUGCUCGCUUAUGCUAUUUUACCUACGCUUAGGAUGUUGAAGUCAUCGUAUCGCGC